This is a long non-coding RNA of Homo sapiens (human), 805 nucleotides long. RefSeq lists it as uncharacterized. Lineage: Eukaryota; Metazoa; Chordata; Mammalia; Primates; Hominidae. The transcript has 3 exons. The record is from RefSeq and is a predicted model, not a curated record.
GUGUCGCUAUGCAAGGCAAAUGAUUGGAUAGGGAGAGCACAAGAGAGGAGCACGUGGGAAUGCACUGUUGUUACCAUGACGACUACACGUGAAUCAAAAGGUGGAAAGGCUCGAAGCCCAGAAGCGGCAGGCACACCGAUUGACCCUCCGCCAAUGGAAAGGCCUGCCCACGAGGAUCGGCGGAGUACAUUUGCAAAGCGAAAGUUCAUUGCGAUCACUGUUUUGCAGGAAGCCCUGCUAUGAGCAGCCCUAUGGAGAGGCCCACGUGCUGAGGAACUGAGCUACUUGCCAACAGCCAUGUAGCCACUCUACAGUGGCCGGUGAGAUUUCCUCCAAGCCUACUCUUCUGAGCAGCAUUGUCUUAGUAAAUGGCACCAAAAGUCACCCAGGGAGGCAUUGCCUGGUGGGCCAUCAAUCCCGCAAGUAAUAUGAAGCCUCUAAAUAUUCAUAACCAUGAACAGACACCAAUCUUAGAGGAAAGAUGAAGUAAGAAGAGUCAAAAAAGGACUCUGCAGAGAGCUGCUCAAGUUCUGAGAAGCAAACCAAGGGCCAGUGGCAUCCUGAGCCCGGGGAGGGGAGCAUUUAAAGCAGCGGGAGAUUCGACGGCAUCGGCGGAGAGCUAGUCCCUCAGGGUUCUCAGUUGCACAUAACAGGAACAGACUGGCUGAUGGAAGCCCAGGGAAAACCAGCUAGAGGGUAUCCCACAGGCGUACCUCGGGCCUCACACUCAGUGGGUAGUGGGUGUAUCUGAUUGGUAGAGCCUGGGUUAGGUGCCCAUGCCAUAGCUACAAGGGAAGCUGGGAAA